GUGGGGAAUCUUGGACAAUGGGGGAAACCCUGAUCCAGCAACGCCGUGUGAGUGAUGAAGGUCUUCGGAUCGUAAAGCUCUGUCGGCCGGGAAGAAUUGCAUGAACAUCAGAUCUUCAUGCUUGACGGUACCGGCGAAGGAAGCACCGGCUAACUCUGUGCCAGCAGCCGCGGUAAUACAGAGGGUGCAAGCGUUAUUCGAAAUUAUUGGGCGUAAAGCGCGCGUAGGUGGCGAGGCAAGUCUUGUGUGAAAUCCUCGGGCUCAACCCGAGAAAGUCAUGAGAAACUACCUUGCUUGAGUAUAAGAGGGGAGAGCGGAAUUCCCAGUGUAGUGGUGAAAUACGUAGAUAUUGGGAGGAACACCGGUGGCGAAAGCGGCUCUCUGGCUUAUCACUGACACUCUGGCGCGAAAGCGUGGGGAUCAAACAGGAUUAGAAACCCUAGUAGUCC
RNAcentral lists this ribosomal RNA (449 nucleotides) under uncultured bacterium. RNAcentral describes it as "bacterial SSU rRNA". It matches the Rfam family "Bacterial small subunit ribosomal RNA", at positions 354 to 796 of the family's 1533-position model. The record is from RNAcentral.